UCUGUGAAUCUGUGUUUCCUAGUUAGUUGUGCUCAUCAAUCACAGCAGCUCCAUGAGCUCUUAAUUGAGCCAUGUGCCAACUCAAGAUAAUUCAAAGUAUAAAAAUUACUGGACAGUACACUUAGGACAACAGUAAUACAGGUGUCCUAAGGCAAGUUCAGGGAGGAUAGAAAUCUCCUAUGGAGCAGAAGGGAAGGAAUUCACUUGAUCUUGAUUUUCAGUACAAAUCCAGUAAAAGCAGAGCCUCGUCAUCCUUCUGACCUUCUGACCUCAUCAUCCUUCUUAUCCUGGUUCUUGCUUAAAACCAGGAGAUGUCAGACACAUUAACACAGGAAUAACCAGCUUGCAGUGGCCAAGUGUUCACAGCAACAUUGCUUUUUGAAGAAAUU
Otolemur garnettii (small-eared galago) is the source of this 389-nucleotide non-coding RNA. The record is from Rfam. NCBI's taxonomy places the organism in Eukaryota, Metazoa, Chordata, Mammalia, Primates, Galagidae.